GCAUCAUUUCCAGAUAAAAAUAUGUACCAAAAGUAAAAAUUAACAUUUUAAAUUUAAUUCAGAAAUAUAGGGUUUACAGCAUAAUUCACUUUCUGUUUGGUAUCAAAAUUACAUCAUCCAUUUUUCCCAAUCAAAUAACAUGUUCCAAAUGCAUUGUAAAAAGUCUAAGUUUUGGCAAUAUAUUAUUUUAUUUUGUUAAAUCAUAAGAUUUAGACCUAUGUUUUUGAAUUCUUUUCAAUUAUAAAUUAUUUGCAAACCAUUAUAGUGUAGACUGGUGAAAGAUUAGAAAUUUGCAUUUCUGUAAAGAUAUUACAGACAUCAGAUGGAUUUUCAACUGACAUCACAUUCAGCCUAGAAGAACCCAGAUUAACAUCAAAAAUGCCUAACUGUAGUAGGGGACAUAAUUCUACCCCUGUAUGCCAUAGAAUUAAUAAGGAAAGAGCCAUUAUGUGUCCUCCGCAAGAACACUGAGCUGCUUGAUGAAAUACCUGUAGUGGAGAGCAUCCUUAUGACUCUCAAAGACCAUGAUUUACAGAAACAGGCACUUAGAUGUUCAUAUAUUAGGGAAAGAACAACACAGCGUACCCAUAACAAACAAAGGAACGAAGGCUGCCAAGACAACUACCUACUUAAGAAAACGCUACACUGGCUAAAGGAGAACAACCUUACAAUCAUUAGAGAGGAUAAGACAAAGAAAAUGGUCCUCAUUGAAACAA
This 716-nucleotide long non-coding RNA is filed under the name Androctonus crassicauda. The record is from RNAcentral. Lineage: Eukaryota; Metazoa; Arthropoda; Arachnida; Scorpiones; Buthidae.